CAGUAGCCACGGUAAUACGUAGGGUGCGAGCGUUAAUCGGAAUUACUGGGCGUAAAGCGUGCGCAGGCGGUUCGUUAAGACAGAUGUGAAAUCCCCGGGCUUAACCUGGGAACUGCAUUCGUGACUGGCGAGCUAGAGUAUGGCAGAGGGGGGUAGAAUUCCACGUGUAGCAGUGAAAUGCGUAGAGAUGUGGAGGAAUACCGAUGGCGAAGGCAGCCCCCUGGGCCAAUACUGACGCUCAUGCACGAAAGCGUGGGGAGCAAACAGGAUUAGAUACCCGCGUAGUCCCUGUCUCUUAUAC
This 301-nucleotide ribosomal RNA is filed under the name uncultured bacterium. RNAcentral's name for it is "partial 16S ribosomal RNA". It matches the Rfam family "Bacterial small subunit ribosomal RNA", at positions 509 to 807 of the family's 1533-position model. The record is from RNAcentral.